AACAAAAAGUACCGCAAGGGAUAAAAACAGUUGGUAAAGAAGGGGCUCAUACCCGUACCUUUUGCAUAAUGGGGUGUUUAUGGAGAAAGCGAAAAUUGUUCCUGAGGUCUUUUGAGCUACUUUUAUUGAGGUAGAAAUGUGACAUUAAUUUCUAGUAAGAUAAAAGUAGAGGUGAUAUGCUUUACACAAAGGAUGAUAUCUGGUUACAGGCGAAAUGUGUGCAGCACAGCUCAAAAUUAUUUUUUGAAGUGAGGGGAAUGGGGUUGAGCUCGUUCCUUAGAGUAAAAGGGGAUUAGGAAUAGUAAAAAUGAUGAAGGUAGGCCUGGAAACAGCCAUCCAAUGGAGUAAGUUAUAUUUCACAUCAUCGGAGGAUAAGAUUAAAUAGUAUGCUUUUAAUUUGGUAGCCUGUUAUUUACUGUAAUAAACUUGUAAAAAGAUUAGAACAUCAUGAGUAGCAGUAGAAAAUGUUUAGUUUUUAGUGUGAGGAAUAAGGUGUAGAAAAAAUAAAAUUAAUAGAUUUACGUAAGGAACUCGGCAAAAAUUUGCUCCGCCUGUUUAUCAAAAACAUGGCCCUGUGGGAAAAAUAUACAGGGUCGGGCCUGCCCGGUGAUUUUAGGAUUAAACGGCCGCUGUAAUUGGUGCGAUGGUAGCAAAAUCUAUAGCCCUUUAAUUGGGGGCGUGUGAAUGGUUUAGACGUGGGUGAGACUGUCUCGUGUAGAAUAAGUGAAAUUUACUUUUAGGUGCAAAGGCCUAAAUAAUAAGGCUGGACGAGAAGACCCUGUAGAGCUUUAUCCAAAAUUGGAAUUGAUUGGGGCAAUCGAAGAGCAAAAAAAACCUCUUGACUUAGGAAGAAUGAUAGAUGAACCGCACUAUUUGCGAUUAUUAGAAGGAGCUACCGCAGGGAUAACAGCGUAAUCUUUCUUGAGAGUUCAUAUUGACGGAAGGGUUUGCGACCUCGAUGUUGAAUUAGGGUAUUCGUGGGGUGCAGAAGUCUCAUAGAAUAGGUCUGUUCGACCUUUAAAACCCUACAUGAUUUGAGUUCAGACCGGCGUGAGCCAGGUUGGUUUCUAUCCUCCUUAUAAAUCUUAGGCCUAUUUGUACGAAAGGACCAUAGGCCUUAACUGAGUUAAGUUAAAA
This 1137-nucleotide ribosomal RNA is filed under the name Laternula truncata. Its description in RNAcentral is "16S ribosomal RNA". It matches the Rfam family "Bacterial large subunit ribosomal RNA", at positions 565 to 2760 of the family's 2925-position model. The record is from RNAcentral. Lineage: Eukaryota; Metazoa; Mollusca; Bivalvia; Laternulidae.